AUACUAUAGGUAAAUAUUUUAUCUUCAUUUAUUGAUAAAAUAUGUCCAGGGAGGCCAGGAUUAAAGUUCAGGUUUAUCUUAGGACAAAUCUCUCUCUCAAGCCACCAUACUG
RNAcentral lists this microRNA precursor (112 nucleotides) under Myotis lucifugus (little brown bat). RNAcentral's name for it is "miRNA (ENSMLUG00000026888.1)". The record is from RNAcentral. Lineage: Eukaryota; Metazoa; Chordata; Mammalia; Chiroptera; Vespertilionidae.